AGUGCAUAAGCAUUGAAAAAUGAUCAGAAAUAUAACACACCCAACAGGAAUCUGUAGUCAUUGUGAUAAGGGACACAAAACUUCUGGCCUCCCUAUGAACAAUUCCCUAUAUAGGA
Molecule: small nucleolar RNA, 116 nt
Organism: Otolemur garnettii (small-eared galago)
Lineage: Eukaryota; Metazoa; Chordata; Mammalia; Primates; Galagidae
Source: Ensembl